AAAAUACGAGAAUAUAAAAAAAAAAAAACAUUACUACUACUACUAGUAGUAGUACUACAAUAAAUGGUUUGAAUAAUGGUAUGGGAAAAUAUAAUACGAUUUCAAACGUUAAUAGUAUGAUUUAUGCAGAUGGAUCCGAUGGUGCAUGUGUGUCGGGAAAUGUGAGUAGUUUGAGUAAUGUUAGUAGUUUGAGUAGUGUUAGUAGUUUGAGUAAUGUAAAUAAUGUAAGUAACAUUAGUAGUGUGAAUAAUGUUAGUAGUAUGAACGAUGCAGGCCAUAAAGUGAAAAUGUUAGCAAUAGAUUGUGAUGAUGGUACUACUAGUAAUACUGAAAGUAUAUGUACCCUAAAUUUAAGUGAAAUAAAAGAAUCUUGUAAAAAUCACAUUCCUCGUAUUAUAAGAUCAACUACUGACACAUUUUUACCAAACGGUUUUUUAAAUGAACAAUCUCAAAUUACGUUUGAAAAUAAUAUAACGAAUAGUGUUGUAGAUAUGUUUACUUCUUUUAUGAAAAUAAAUAUAGCAGCAUUAAAUAAAAACAUAAUUUUUGAUAAAAUAAAUGAUUCAGUAACCAGUGAAGUAAACAAAUCUGUUGAUAAUAUGCGUAAGACUUUUAAAAAUCAUAUGCGUGGAGAGUUAAAUGAUGAAAUUGACAAAAAUAUUAUCCUUUUAAAUACUAAAAUGAAUAAAAAUAUAAACAAAGAAGUUAAAGAUUGUAUGGAAAAUAUACAUACAAAAGUAAAUGAACAAGUAGAAAAAAAAAAAAAAAAAAAAAAAAAAAAAAAAAAAAAAAAAAAAAAAAAAAAACGAUAGGCCAUUACAUAAUAAUUUUAUACCGUUCUAGGUAAUGAUAUUUAUGUUCAAUACCUAUCAUAUCUAAAAAGGAAAUGUGCAAUGAGUAUUUUUACACAUCGCAAUUUGCAAAAAGAAUUUUUUUUUUUUUUUAUAUGCUUUUGAAAAAAAAAAAAUUACAUAUAUAUGUAUAAUAGGCAAUAAUGUUUAUGCUUCUACAUACAUAUAUACGUAUAUACGUGCGUUUAUAUAUAUAUAUAUAUAUAUAUAGAUAUACGUAUACAUAUAUAUAUGUAUAUAGAUAAACAGGUAUAUGCGUGAUUUUUCGAUUUGUUAAAAACAAAUAAAUGAAACAAUAUUUACA
RNAcentral lists this long non-coding RNA (1155 nucleotides) under Piliocolobus tephrosceles (Ugandan red Colobus). RNAcentral's name for it is "lncRNA (ENSPTEG00000005385.1)". Lineage: Eukaryota; Metazoa; Chordata; Mammalia; Primates; Cercopithecidae. The record is from RNAcentral.